UACAGCUACAUGUAUUGAACCACUACGCAUCAUGCGACAGCGUGCCCUAGGAUAUUAAACAGAAACAAAGUAAGUGUCUCGUUCACUUCCGUAAGACUGACACAUAUAAAAAGAUCUUUUUCCUUCUGGCAACAUUAAGACUUUUAUCACUUCACCGACACACAUCCACGAUGACCUUGAGGUCGGUAGCGACAUCAUCCGUCAGGGCCAGGGCAAUGCAGUAAAGAGGCUCAGUGAAGAGGAAAACUGGGGGGGUCAGCCAGAGGCUCAUGAAUAAAUGCUAAAGGCCAACCAGGGCCACUGAAAGUGGAUAGCAUUUUCAGAAAAUUUGGACCAAUCUUUGUAUCAUAUGUUUGUAAGAAAGUUUUUGAAAAGUCAGCUUCAGAAAAUUGAUUACCUCUAGUGUUUAUCUAUACAUUAUAAGUGGAUGGAGGUUGGAUGGCAAUGUGUGAAAUACGUAUUGCCAGCAUGUUAUGGAAGGGGAAUGCACUGACCGCAUGGAUUGGACAAGUUCACCGUGCAGCUCACCAGGCUGUAGCUGCAGUCCAGCAGUCCCAGAGUAAGACGAGCAUGCAGAGGGGUUGUGUUUAAGGCAAGAAUUGCACAGCUGCCCUCACACAGCAUAACAGGUAGAUUCAGUGAUAUGACUGGGAGAUGUCUAGUUGCCACAAUGUACGCUGCCCAUGUGGAAGAGGCUUGUUCUAGGAGAGGAUCAGAUACCGGAUUACUGUUGGAAAUUUUUGACGAUUAUUCCACUUGGAGGACAUUGAAUUUCCCAGGAGUGAUCUGAACUUAGCAAUGUAGCGUCUUAUUGAUGCUCAUUGUUUCCAUGCUGUCUGCAAGACUUACAGUAGAUAUAUCCUGUCUGUUGGGUGAAUGUAGUUCUUUUAUAAAAAGGGGGAAUGAGUAGUGCAAGGUUUUUGUCUGCCAGUCAUGGGCUCUAAAACCUCUCCAUCUAGAAUUUUCUUAGCUCAACACAUGCAAACCUGUUUGUAAACACAACUCUCACCAGGACAGACAGAGUGAAACAGACUGAUUGACUCAUUUGUGUAACAGUUGUUUCUCUCUGACUUAACAGCUGUGGCCACGAAGACAAUUUGUUCGCAU
This 1107-nucleotide long non-coding RNA is filed under the name Scleropages formosus (Asian bonytongue). Its description in RNAcentral is "lncRNA (ENSSFOG00015028151.1)". Lineage: Eukaryota; Metazoa; Chordata; Actinopteri; Osteoglossiformes; Osteoglossidae. The record is from RNAcentral.